AACCUGGUUGAUCCUGCCAGUAGCAUACGCUUGUCUCAAAGAUUAAGCCAUGCAUGUCUAAGUAUAAACAACUCUAUACUGUGAAGCUGCGAAUGGCUCAUUAAAUCAGUUAUAGUUUAUUUGAUGGUUCUUGCUACUUGGAUAACCGUAGUAAUUCUAGAGCUAAUACAUGCAUCUACCGAUUGAAUGGUUCGGUGAAAAUCUCGGACCGCGGCUUGGAUGCCUUCGGGCAACCAGGCGGUGGAAAGUUGUUUAAACCUCAUCAUUUAGAGGAAGGUGAAGUCGUAACAAGGUUUCCGUAGGUGAACCUGCAGAAGGAUC
Molecule: ribosomal RNA, 321 nt
Filed under: uncultured marine eukaryote
Lineage: Eukaryota
Description: bacterial SSU rRNA
Rfam family: Eukaryotic small subunit ribosomal RNA
Source: RNAcentral